CGAACGCUGGCGGCGUGCCUAACACAUGCAAGUCGUGCGAGAAAGUUUCCUUCGGGAAGCGAGUACAGCGGCGCACGGGUGAGUAACACGUAGGUAACCUACCCUCGAGCCUGGGAUAACCUACCGAAAGGUGGGCUAAUACCGGAUAUGACCACGGUGGUUUCGGCCACUGCGGUGAAAGGUGGUCUCUGCUCGCAUGCUAUUACUCGGGGAUGGGCCUGCGCGCCAUUAGCUUGUUGGUGAGGUAACGGCUCACCAAGGCUCCGAUGGCUAGCUGGUCUGAGAGGAUGACCAGCCACACUGGGACUGGAACACGGCCCAGACUCCUACGGGAGGCAGCAGUGGGGGAUAUUGCGCAAUGGGCGAAAGCCUGACGCAGCGACGCCGUGUGGGUGAUGAAGGCCCUCGGGUCGUAAAGCCCUGUCGAGGGGGAAGAAAUCGUCGAGACCCAAUACGUCUCGGCGUUGACGGUACCCCUAAAGGAAGAACCGGCUAACUCCGUG
RNAcentral lists this ribosomal RNA (503 nucleotides) under uncultured bacterium. Its description in RNAcentral is "bacterial SSU rRNA". It matches the Rfam family "Bacterial small subunit ribosomal RNA", at positions 30 to 507 of the family's 1533-position model. The record is from RNAcentral.